AACAGCUCUGGUCUGUGUCGUGUUGUCCGGUGUGCCGUGUUCCCUAGUGUGUCUUUGGGGUCCCUUUUGCCUUUUCCCCUCGAGGCCCUCACCACAAGCAUGAUGUGUCGUGUUUAAUGUCCCCCUGUUUGUCACGUUCUGUGUCACGGGUGUGUGCACACGUUUGUGCCGGAGCUGUUCUGCCCUGCCGUAUGGCCUGCUGCAAUAGGACAAACCAUAGGGAGUGGGAAUUUGUAAUGUGGGCUGUACUUGGGCUCUAGAUGCUGUUCCUAGAUUGACAUAAGGUGUUUGCAGCUUGUGAGUUACCCUGGUGGUGUUUGACAUAUGUUGUAACUUUCUUUCAGGUGCAGAUGCAUUCCAUGUGUGGCAGAGGGUCAGGGUUAGGAGGUGCCGGGCCUUCUUAGGAGCGCGCUGUCUGAGAGACCCCAGCCCGGUGCCAGCAGGACCUUCCCAGGUGACGAGGUGGCCUUUCUUUGCACCAGAGACCAGCAUCCCCAGAUGUCUGAGAGAUAAGUAGAGGGCUGGGACCCACAGAGGGGAUGAAGGCAUGGUGCUUGUUUGGGAAUUACUGGGAGGGGUUUUUGAGUCCAGUUUGGAGCGGGGGGUGUUCAUUAAACGGCUCGUUAGGCCCCAUGAAAGCCAAGUCUCACUUUUGAUCUCAGUGCUGAGGUGUGUAGCAGGGCAGAGCAGUCCCGGUGUGUCUCGUGUCACUUGUCUAUUGUGCCUUGUGUGUUGUUUGUGUAUCUCAUCUCCUGUCUUUUGCCUUAGGGGGGCCUGUCAGAAUCCUUGGCAUCCUUGUUAGCAUCUGUGAUCUCUGCAUUCCUUGGCCUGGCACCCGGGCCACAGAACUUUUGACUGGGGAGCUCAGACAGGCAUCAGACUCUCUUCUCUCUUUUGAAGCAUCCCAUCUGAUUUCUUGUCAGGUCUUGUUCUGGGCUGUAUGGACAGCUAUGCCCACCUGGAUCCAUUCAGAUGCACCUCCUCAGAUGACUGCAGUAGUUCUGUAGAUUCCUUCUUCUGAAAGGGAAUAGGGCUCAAGAAUUCAUCUUCCAGAGAAUUUUUGCAAGUCCUGGCUUGUAUUGUAUCUGCCUAUGGUGGCUUAUGUUCUAUGUACCUAUACAUCUGUCUUCUAUUGGAUUUUGGGUAGAAAAUUUAUCAGUCCAGAGUGGGGACAAGUCCUAGCUGUCAGAUAGCCACUCGUUGACCCUUCCUGUCGUCUCACAGGUCCCCGAGGCUGCUGAUUUCCCCAGGAUCUGCCAUUUUACCUCACGGAGCGGCAGCCAGAAGAUGUGUCACAUCACGUUCUUCAGCAUCUCGAGUUUUGCGACUCCUUGUUAAAUUCAGAAUAAAAAAUCCCCAGCCGGGUUGUAUUGCAUGAACUGACAUGGUAUGUACCGAUGUUGGCUUAAAACCCAGAAAACCAGACGAAGAUGAGCAGGAAAAAACCAGAAAAAAACCCUAUGAUGGACAAGAAAAAAACCCAGAAAAAGGCCAGGAUGGGCAAGAAAGAAAUGAGAAAAAAACCCCAGAAAAUAAUCCCAGAUGGGCAAGAAAAAAACCUAGAAAAAACCCCAGAAAAUCACCCAAGAUGGGCAAGAAAAAACCCAGAAAAAACCACAAGAAAAAAACUCUGAGAUGGGCAAGAAAAAAACCAGAAAAAAGUCUGAAGAUGGGCAAGAAAAAACCUGGAAAAAACCCCCAAGAUGGACAAGAAAUAACCCAGAAAAAAAUUCGAAGAAGGGAAGAAAAGGCCCAGAAAACACCCAGAAAAAAAUCGCAACUCAAGUAUAAAUAUAGAAAUGUUUGUCAAGUAUAUGCAGAUAUAUAAAGAAAUGUUAAAUUAUUUGAAAUAUAAAAUAACAAAAAUAUAACAUAUAUACAGUAUUACUUGUAUUUUGGAUCGUAUUGAUUUAUGUUUAUUUCCUAUAAUACACUACAAUAUUUAUAUCAAUUUUACAUCUAUCAUCUCUAUCAUUUGUUAUAUGUUACACCAUAUUGAUAUACUCUAGGUUUUUUUAAGUAGUUUAAAAUAAAGGGGAGUUUUUUUUUAUUUGGCAAAAGCAGGUGUUUUAGUAUAGAAAUUAUAAAUACAAAUAAUAUAAAGGUAGAAAUCUAAGAAUAGAAAUAGAUCAUAAAUAGCUGAAGGUUAAUAUAAAAAUUAAAAAUGUAAGAAAAAAUAAGUUGUAGCAGUAGAUAUGGUACAUAAUUAGGAAAAUAAUUUAUCUCUAUUAUUUGAAUAGGAUA
Molecule: long non-coding RNA, 2244 nt
Organism: Melospiza melodia melodia
Lineage: Eukaryota; Metazoa; Chordata; Aves; Passeriformes; Passerellidae
Exons: 4
Source: RefSeq, a predicted model, not a curated record